UUUAACCUUUCCAAACUGCCAGACUGCUCUACACCCCUGUUAGUGGUUGCUAGAUGCCUCCACUAAAACUUGACUUUCUGCCAGGAAGAAAGGACCCAUAGCGACAUAGUUUUAUAAUGUCACCAAUCGGAUAGCACACUCCUUCAAAAGAGUCAUCUGCUGUAUCUCCAUAAAAAGCUAAAUAAGGAACCCUUUUACUCAGAUCAGAGAUGACUGGGGGCAGGGGAUAGGAGACCUCUGGUGUUCCAGUUAUCAGAUCUGCGAAAAAAUUUUUUAAAAUUUCUUCAAUCAAGAGGCUUUAUACCACUUUUUUCCUGUUAAAGGUGAAGUC
This 331-nucleotide long non-coding RNA is filed under the name Bos taurus (domestic cattle). RNAcentral describes it as "long non-coding RNA NONBTAT000083". Lineage: Eukaryota; Metazoa; Chordata; Mammalia; Artiodactyla; Bovidae. The record is from RNAcentral.